This 207-nucleotide unclassified non-coding RNA is filed under the name uncultured Phialophora. Its description in RNAcentral is "sequence contains ITS1". The record is from RNAcentral. Lineage: Eukaryota; Fungi; Ascomycota; Leotiomycetes.
CCGAGUUAGGGUCGCCCCCGCGCGCCCGACCUCCAACCCUUUGUCUACCUGACCUACAUGUUGCUUCGGCAGGCCCGCCCGACCCCCCGCGAGGGGGGAAAGGCCGCCGGGGGUCUCACGACCCCGGGCCCGCGCCUGUCGACGGCCCCAACCACAAAACUCUUGUUAAAAACCGUGUCGUCUGAGUACCACAUUUUAAUCAAAUUA